GACGAACGCUGGCGGCGUGCUUAACACAUGCAAGUCGAGCGGUAAGGCCCUUUCGGGGGUACACGAGCGGCGAACGGGUGGGUAACACGUGGGUGACCUGCCCUCAGCUCUGGGAUAAGCCUGGGAAACCCGGGUCUAAUACUGGAUAUGACUCCAUGACGCAUGUUGUGGGGUGAAAGCCUUGUGCGGCUGAGGAUGGGCCCCGCGGCCUAUCAGCUUGUUGGUGGGGUGAUGGCCUACCAAGGCGACGACGGGUAGCCGGCCUGAGAGGGCGACCGGCCACACUGGGGACUGAGACACGGCCCAGACUCCUACGGGAGGCAGCAGUGGGGAAUCUUGCGCAAUGGGCGAAAGCCUGACGCAGCGACGCCGCGUGA
RNAcentral lists this ribosomal RNA (377 nucleotides) under uncultured bacterium. RNAcentral's name for it is "bacterial SSU rRNA". It matches the Rfam family "Bacterial small subunit ribosomal RNA", at positions 28 to 404 of the family's 1533-position model. The record is from RNAcentral.